AUUGAACGCUGGCGGCAUGCCUUACACAUGCAAGUCGAACGUGAAAGCGGGGCAACCCGCAAGUAGAGUGGCGGACGGGUGAGUAAUACAUCGGAACGUGUCCAGUAAUGGGGGAUAACCUAGCGAAAGUUAGGCUAAUACCGCAUACGAUCUGCGGAUGAAAGCGGGGGAUGCGGCACUAAAGGCUUUUGGCGAAGGUGGCCAAAGGUGAGUCAAGAGCUUUUAGUGCNGCACCUCGCGUUAUUGGAGCGGCUGAUGUCUGAUUAGCUAGUUGGUGAGGUAAAGGCUUACCAAGGCGACGAUCAGUAGCUGGUCUGAGAGGACGGCCAGCCACACUGGGACUGAGACACGGCCCAGACUCCUACGGGAGGCAGCAGUGGGGAAUUUUGGACAAGUGGGGGCAACCCUGAUCCAGCCAUGUCGCGUGAGUGAAGAAGGCC
This 440-nucleotide ribosomal RNA is filed under the name uncultured bacterium. Its description in RNAcentral is "bacterial SSU rRNA". It matches the Rfam family "Bacterial small subunit ribosomal RNA", at positions 30 to 416 of the family's 1533-position model. The record is from RNAcentral.